This 71-nucleotide transfer RNA is filed under the name Marmota monax (woodchuck). RNAcentral describes it as "tRNA.Ala". It matches the Rfam family "tRNA". Rfam says of the family: Transfer RNA (tRNA) molecules are approximately 80 nucleotides in length. Lineage: Eukaryota; Metazoa; Chordata; Mammalia; Rodentia; Sciuridae. The record is from RNAcentral.
GGGGUUGUAGCUCAGUAGUAGAGCGCUCGCCUAGCAUGUGCGAGGCCCUGGGUUCAAUCCUCAGCACCACA